This 230-nucleotide long non-coding RNA is filed under the name Phoenix dactylifera (date palm). Its description in RNAcentral is "long non-coding RNA (PDAC_LNC013213)". Lineage: Eukaryota; Viridiplantae; Streptophyta; Magnoliopsida; Arecales; Arecaceae. The record is from RNAcentral.
UGGUGAUUGUUUGAUUUUAAUUUCAGCAAAAGUGUGAAUGCAUGCUUGAUACACAUACACCAAUUAAUCCACACAUAGUAAGGGCAAUCACCCCAACAAGAUAAGAACUGUAUUUCAUCACCAGAUUCUUGCCCAAAUUAGGUGAAUCAACUCUCACAUAGUUAUCACUUUAAUUAAAAUCAAUUAGACGUUGGCCCCUAGGGACAUUCGAGCUCAAUAGGACGAAGAUC